CAUAUCUAUAAGCGGAGGAAAGAAACUAACAAGGAUUCCCCCUAGUAACUGCGAGUGAAGCGGGAAGAGCUCAAAUUUAAAAUCUGUCCCUCUUUGGCCGUCCGAGUUGUAAUCUAGAGAAGUGUUUUCCGCGCUGGACCGUGUACAAGUCUCUUGGAACAGAGCGUCAUAGAGGGUGAGAAUCCCGUCUUUGACACGGACUACCAGUGCUUUGUGAUGCGCUCUCGAAGAGUCGAGUUGUUUGGGAAUGCAGCUCAAAAUGGGUGGUAAAUUCCAUCUAAAGCUAAAUAUUGGCGAGAGACCGAUAGCGAACAAGUACCGUGAGGGAAAGAUGAAAAGCACUUUGGAAAGAGAGUUAAACAGUACGUGAAA
RNAcentral lists this ribosomal RNA (372 nucleotides) under Phaeoclavulina decolor. RNAcentral describes it as "eukaryotic LSU rRNA". It matches the Rfam family "Eukaryotic large subunit ribosomal RNA", at positions 39 to 404 of the family's 3401-position model. The record is from RNAcentral. Lineage: Eukaryota; Fungi; Basidiomycota; Agaricomycetes; Gomphales; Gomphaceae.